This is a non-coding RNA of Triticum urartu, 134 nucleotides long. Lineage: Eukaryota; Viridiplantae; Streptophyta; Magnoliopsida; Poales; Poaceae. The record is from Rfam.
UUUGUACUCCCUCCGUCCCUAAUUCUUGUCUUAAAUUUGUCUAAAUAUGGAUGUAUCUAGUUACAUUUUAGUGUUAGAUACAUCCAUAUCUAAACAAAUGUAAGACAAGAAUUUUGGGACGGAGGGAAUACUAC